RNAcentral lists this non-coding RNA (188 nucleotides) under Burkholderia sp. Lineage: Bacteria; Pseudomonadati; Pseudomonadota; Betaproteobacteria; Burkholderiales; Burkholderiaceae. The record is from RNAcentral.
GAUAAUCGUCACUGCGACGGCUGCCGCAAGGCAUUAAUAGGGAAUAUGGUGAGGCAAUUGCCAAGACCAUAGCUGUGCCCGCAACUGUGAACGCGGAGUCCGAUGUCAUGAGGCCACUGGGUAACCGGGAAGGCGACGCCGGGCGAUGAUGCGUGAGCCAGGAGACCUGCCGCGCCCGGGACGCACAC